This 127-nucleotide small nucleolar RNA is filed under the name Lonchura striata (white-rumped munia). RNAcentral's name for it is "domestica (Bengalese finch) Small nucleolar RNA SNORD22 (ENSLSDG00000006035.1)". It matches the Rfam family "Small nucleolar RNA SNORD22". Rfam says of the family: U22 is a member of the C/D class of snoRNA which contain the C (UGAUGA) and D (CUGA) box motifs. The record is from RNAcentral. Lineage: Eukaryota; Metazoa; Chordata; Aves; Passeriformes; Estrildidae.
CCCCCAUGAGGAAACCCCCACGUGUCUGACCCCCCCGGCUGGGCCCAGGACCUGCAAAGGUGGAACCCCCUGGAGCCCCCGGGGGGAGAGGAGGACAGAGAGUCCCAGCAGGGACGGUCUGAGGGGG